Molecule: ribosomal RNA, 247 nt
Filed under: uncultured bacterium
Lineage: Bacteria
Description: partial 16S ribosomal RNA
Rfam family: Bacterial small subunit ribosomal RNA
Source: RNAcentral
AUACGUAGGUGGCGAGCGUUGUUCGGAUUCAUUGGGCGUAAAGGGUCCGCAGGGGGUAGAUUAAGUCUGAUGUGAAAUCCCUGAGCUUAACUCAGGAACUGCAUUGGAGACUGGUCUACUAGAGUAUCGGAGAGGAGAUUGGAAUUCCAGGUGUAGCGGUGGAAUGCGUAGAUAUCUGGAAGAACACCGAAAGCGAAGGCAGAUCUCUGGACGAUUACUGACCCUCAGGGACGAAAGCGUGGGGAGC